Molecule: long non-coding RNA, 2898 nt
Filed under: Pongo abelii (Sumatran orangutan)
Lineage: Eukaryota; Metazoa; Chordata; Mammalia; Primates; Hominidae
Description: lincRNA
Source: RNAcentral
AUGGAGUGUGACAAGGCCAGGUGACAGGCCUGACAUGCGGUGUCCACAUCCAGAAGGGAGACCCUGGGGGGAUGACCCUCCACUGCCACCCCCUCCCAUCAGGCUCUGGACACCCUUGAGCCUCCCACCAUCCACCUUACCAGAUCCCCCCAAGAGCCCGGGAAGCUCGCUCCCCCAGGGGACCAGGAGCACAGCCGCUUCCAUCCGUAACGGGCGUGAAUCCCAAAGGGGCGUGAGGAAAGAAAGCCAUUUCACAUCGACUUGUCCUUCUGGCCCCAGGCAGCAGCACAGGGCGCACGGUGGGCCUCUGCAGACAUGAUGGCUCCGUGGUCAGGGAGGCGCCACCUCCCAUGUGCCUGGGGAGGGGCCCUCCCAAGCCCCUGCAUGGCAGGGCCAAGGGGUUGGAGUCAGCCCCAGCACACCCAGGGCCCUGCUCACUGGUGGCCAUUGUCAGCGUCACCUCCACCUUCAGGAGCCUGCCACGUGCCUGCUCUCGGUCACUCAGCCCUCCCUGGCACGCACCACUUUGUCCACACACCCUGUGUGUAAGUGGUGACAGCAGUGACAGCUCAGGCGUCACCUGAUCGGGCCGACUCUAAACCUUAGCCCUUCCUUGACCUGUUGUGCUGGACAAGCCUCUGGGAGGCGACGGUGGGACAGCCACAGGGUUCUUGGCUCAGCCCCCAGGAGUGGGGAGCUGGGGCUCUGGACGGAGGCGGGCACUCGAGGCUGGUGUGGCCCCCUGGGUGAGGGCCAGGCUCGGGAGAGGCAGCCAGACGGCCCCAAGCCACCCCAGGAACAAAGCACCAGCACAUGCCUCCACUGGUUUGCCAGGGCUGGGAGCAGUUGGAGUGCUUCUGUGGUGGCUGUGGCAGCCCACGGCCCCAAGACCCUGGCUUCCUUCUGCUCCCACCUCUCCAGGCCCCUUCCCCAACAAGCAGCUACUGCAGGACCCAGUGGGGGCUAGGGCACCAGCAGCUGCCAUUACCCAUGCUGGGGCCUGAUGGUUCCUGACCAGCCUCAACCAUGGAUUCCAAGCUGGGGAAGGAAGAAGCAGGCUGGGAGUGGGGAGGGAGACAGUGAAGGACACCCAAACACACACACACACACACGUAGAAAGAACACUCAGUCUCAGCAUUGUUUCCCAGUAAUCUCACUUAAAAAGAACACUUGGGUUUACCAUGUCCACAUAAUCUCGUUGCUCUGAGAAUGAACUUAUUCUUCCUCACAGCUUGGCCAUGUGUCCCUCCCCAUUGCCCAAGUCCCCUCAUGACAGCAUCUCCCACUGCCAUGUCCUCUCUUUGGGGACCUCCAAGUCCCUGGAGUUUGGGGACUGCAGGGUGGGUGGAGGGGCCCACAAGCUCUGCAGGGAGCCAGAAGGAAACGGUCUGUCCCACCCCAGGGCUGAGCACCUCGCUGGCUGAUGAUACCCACACCUGGAAAUAGCUCAAGGGCCGCGUGAGGCCGCACGACACCCACGCCAGUAUGAGACACCUGGCCAUGUGGCAUUCCUGGCCGAUUGCUGGCAGCUGCAGGCUUUGUCAGCCAGAUGAUGUCCCCGGGGUCUCUGGGCAGGCAGGGCACACAGGAAGCAGCUCACACUCACUCAUCAUGGCAAGGCGGGUCGUGUGGAACUUCCUUGGUCUUCCUCAUCUGCGCCCCACCCAGCCUGGCAGAUGGUGAUGCUGUGAGUGCUGGGGAAACACACACACGCGCACACACACACACACGCACACAUGUACAGGCAGGUGCACACAUGCCUGGGAGAGUCUGUGCUGCUCAGCUUCUGACGGCAGCUCCCCAGGUCCCCCGAGGGUCUGCGGUAGGAGGCGAGUCUUUUAACAUCAGCCCAAACCAAACAGGACGAGGAGGGCAAAUCGGCCAUCCCCAAUAAAUCCUAGGGAGUCCUUCCAAGGCAAACAGAAAAUGCACCCCAGCUUUCGCUUUUAGGGGUUUGAGUUGCGAGUUUCCGGUCUUUGGAGUGCGAUGGCCGGGUGUGAGUCUGAAGCCCGCUGGGGGAGAGAAGCUGCACAGUGCAGAGGUACACAUCCCAGCUCCACUCCCCAGCUGUGAAGCCCGGCGCAUUCCGCGUUCCCCGCCCAUCUCCACCUCCGAGGGUUGCGGGAGGCUGAGCAGUUAGAACCGUGGCUGGCAUACCGAGGGCACUCGGUAAACGUGGCUGUGCUGGGCUGUGGGCCUCGAAGGAGUCUCAUGGGGCUGCUGUACCAAUGACCUAGCACUGGGUGGCCUAAAACAACAUGUGUUUCCUCACAGCUUGGGGGACCAGAGCCCAGAAUCUGGGGGUCACAGAGGAGGCUCCAUGCUCACCCAGGUCAGCUCUGGGGGCUGCAGGCCACCCCUAAUCUGGGAUGGUCUUAUGUUGAGGUCCUUAAUUACAUCCACAAAGACCCUUUCCCCAGAUAAGUCCCCACGCACAGUUCCCAGGGAUAGCCUCCGGGGCAGCAUCACCACUCACUCAGUCCUCCGUGCACCCCUUUGUGCUGACUGUCAUGUAACUUGGAUCAGGUCCACGCGUGUGGCUUUGCGGCUUUCCUUUGUCACAGCAUGUCACAACUGUUUUCCUGGGUGUCACUGCUGUGGUUUGAAUUUGCGUGUCCCCAGCCUUCAUAUGUUGGAACCUGAGACCCAAGAAGAUCGUUAUAAGACGCGGGGCCUUUGGAAGGUGAUUAAGUCACCAGGGUCCCCAUUGAAGCACUUGGGAAACCAUCGAGGCCCCCUCCCCUUUGUCCUCUCACCUUCCACCGGGAGAGGACGCAGCAAGAGGCACCCACUGGGAGGCAGAGAGCAGCCCCCACUCCCACCGAGGCUGCUGGCACCGAGACUCUGGACUUCCAGCCUCCAGAAGCAUGAGAAAUAAAUGUCUAUUGUGUGUCAAUG